Molecule: ribosomal RNA, 327 nt
Filed under: uncultured alpha proteobacterium DCM-FREE-30
Lineage: Bacteria; Pseudomonadati; Pseudomonadota; Alphaproteobacteria
Description: bacterial SSU rRNA
Rfam family: Bacterial small subunit ribosomal RNA
Source: RNAcentral
AGAGUUUGAUCAUGGCUCAGAACGUCCGCUGGCGGCACGCCUAACCCAUGCAAGUCGAACGAAGUAGCAAUACUUAGUGGCAGACGGGUGAGUAACAUGUUGGUAUCUGCCCUUUGGCCUGGAAUAACACGAGGAAACUUGUGCUAAUACCGGAUAAGUCUUUACGGAGAAAGCUUUAUGCACCAUUGGAUGAGCCUGCACUUGAUUAGUUUGUUGGUAGGGUAAUGGCCUACCAAGACUGUGAUCAAUAGCUGAUUUUGAGAGGAUGAUCAGCCACAUUGGGACUGAGACACGGCCCAACCUCCUACGGGAAGGCGCGCUUGGGGA